RNAcentral lists this ribosomal RNA (390 nucleotides) under Nitzschia cf. frustulum. RNAcentral's name for it is "partial large subunit ribosomal RNA". Lineage: Eukaryota; Bacillariophyta; Bacillariophyceae; Bacillariales; Bacillariaceae. The record is from RNAcentral.
GGUCUGUAGACCGUGACGUUAUCUUUCCGGGCCAAGUUCCUUGGAAAAGGACAGCAGAGAGGGUGACACUCCCGUCUGCCUGGUGGAAUGAGUCGCGUGUCGACGAGUCGAGUUGUUUGGGAUUGCAGCUCUAAUUGGGUGGUAAAUUCCAUCUAAAGYUGAAUAUUGGUGGGAGACCGAUAGCGUACAAGUACCGUGAGGGAAAGAUGCAAAGAACUUUGAAAAGAGAGUUAAAGAGUACCUGAAAUUGCUGAAACGGAAGCGAAGGAAACCAGUGUCUGGUUGGAUCAUACUUCCCUUGCCACCUGUGGUCUGGGCGCUGUGGUCCCUCCGUGUGUCUGCCUUGGUUGUGCCCUCUGGAAGAGCCCCGUCGGAGUUGACGACGGCCGC